GAGUUUGAUCAUGGCUCAGGAUGAACGCUGGCGGCGUGCUUAACACAUGCAAGUCGAACGAACCUUCGGGUUAGUGGCGGACGGGUGAGUAACGCGUGGGAAUCUGCCCUCAGGAGGGGGAUAACGGUUGGAAACGACCGCUAAUACCCCAUAUGCCGAGAGGUGAAAUGAAUUUCGCCUGAGGAUGAGCCCGCGUCUGAUUAGCUUGUUGGUAAGGUAAUGGCUUACCAAGGCUUCGAUCAGUAGCUGGUCUGAGAGGAUGAUCAGCCACACUGGGACUGAGACACGGCCCAGACUCCUACGGGAGGCAGCAGUGGGGAAUUUUCCGCAAUGGGCGAAAGCCUGACGGAGCAACGCCGCGUGAGGGACGAAGGCCUCUGGGCUGUAAACCUCUUUUCUCAAGGAAGAAGAUAUGACGGUACUUGAGGAAUAAGCCACGGCUAAUUCCGUGCCAGCAGCCGCGGUAAUACGGGAGUGGCAAGCGUUAUCCGGAAUUAUUGGGCGUAAAGCGUCCGCAGGCGGCCUUUCAAGUCUGCUGUUAAAACGUGGAGCUCAACUCCAUCAUGGCAGUGGAAACUGAUCGGCUUGAGUAUGGUAGGGGCAGAGGGAAUUCCCGGUGUAGCGGUGAAAUGCGUAGAUAUCGGAAAGAACACCAGUGGCGAAGGCGCUCUGCUGGGCCAUAACUGACGCUCAUGGACGAAAGCCAGGGGAGCGAAAGGGAUUAGAUACCCCUGUAGUCCUGGCCGUAAACGAUGAACACUAGGUGUCGGGGGGAAUCGACCCCUUCGGUGUCGUAGCUAACGCGUUAAGUGUUCCGCCUGGGGAGUACGCACGCAAGUGUGAAACUCAAAGGAAUUGACGGGGGCCCGCACAAGCGGUGGAGUAUGUGGUUUAAUUCGAUGCAACGCGAAGAACCUUACCAGGGUUUGACAUCCUGCGAACCUUCAAGAAAUUGAAGGGUGCCUUCGGGAACGCAGUGACAGGUGGUGCAUGGCUGUCGUCAGCUCGUGUCGUGAGAUGUUGGGUUAAGUCCCGCAACGAGCGCAACCCACGUUUUUAGUUGCCAGCAUUUAGUUGGGCACUCUAGAAAGACCGCCGGUGAUAAACCGGAGGAAGGUGUGGAUGACGUCAAGUCAUCAUGCCCCUUACAUCCUGGGCUACACACGUACUACAAUGCUACGGACAAAGGGCAGCAAACUCGCGAGAGCUAGCAAAUCCCAUAAACCGUGGCUCAGUUCAGAUCGUAGGCUGCAACUCGCCUACGUGAAGUAGGAAUCGCUAGUAAUCGCAGGUCAGCAUACUGCGGUGAAUACGUUCCCGGGCCUUGUACACACCGCCCGUCACACCAUGGAAGUUGGCCACGCCCGAAGUCGUUACUUUAACCCUUGUGGAGAAGGACGCCGAAGGUGGGGCUGAUGACUGGGGUGAAGUCGUAACAAGGUAACC
RNAcentral lists this ribosomal RNA (1446 nucleotides) under uncultured marine cyanobacterium. RNAcentral's name for it is "bacterial SSU rRNA". It matches the Rfam family "Bacterial small subunit ribosomal RNA". The record is from RNAcentral. Lineage: Bacteria; Bacillati; Cyanobacteriota.